This is a long non-coding RNA of Culex quinquefasciatus (southern house mosquito), 4753 nucleotides long. RefSeq lists it as uncharacterized. The record is from RefSeq and is a predicted model, not a curated record. NCBI's taxonomy places the organism in Eukaryota, Metazoa, Arthropoda, Insecta, Diptera, Culicidae. The transcript has 3 exons.
UUGCGAUUGAUAUUUGAGUGCUCUGUACAGCAGGGCCAGAUCAUGUGUAGAACACUUCGUUGAGCUGUGUAAGUUUUGCUCAGUGUGGAACAUUUUCCGUUUAAUUCAAAACAAAACAUAAACAAUAACAUUGCGUGAAAUGUCAUGUCAACGUCAGAGCUGCCAGUUGAUGACAUUUCGAUCUGUCAUUUUUGACAGUGAACCGGCCGUGCCGAGGGGUCAUAAAAAGGUUGAGUCAUGGUUCAGAGCCUACUGUGUAGUCUUUUAUUAGUCUAUGGCUCAAUCAUCAAAACCGCAGAGUCAUCUGGUGGGCUGACAUCUAAGUUUUCGAGCUUUUCAAUGCCCGCACCCAAUGAAACAAAAUAUGCGCGCACGCACAAAGUCACACAUGGUAGUGAUGUUGUUUUUCGUUCAUCUCUUUCGCACUGUUUUGACCAAAUUUUGACAGAGCGAGGAAAACAUUCAGCGAAAUGGCGAGCAAGUUUUGGAAUUUCAUGAAUAUUAAUCACACACAAAGAAAAAAUACUCUGAAUUUAAAAAGAUCACUCGUUGGAUUAAAAGUUCGCGUUGGCUUAUAUUCGUAGAAAGUUCAAACUUUUCAAUUUAAAAGUUGGAAAGUUUUUGAUACUACCACAAAAUCGUUGUAUCGGUAAAAGUGUUUUACUUUUAAUUGGAAAAGAAACCUUUUAUAGCAAGAAUAAACAACAUUUAAUACACUGAAAGAAACCAGCAUAGUAAUCUCAAGUGAUUUUUCACGUGAGAGUCUCCAAAAAUCAACACGAUAAAUUCACGUGCUUUUCUCAUGGCUCUCACAUGUUUUACAUUUUAAAUGGAUGUGAAAAUAAUUUAAAACCAGCUGAUCGUUAGCGAGCAAACAUCCACUCUUUUUUCGCAUGAAUUUCACUCCAGGUUCAAAUGAAUUUCACAUCGAUUGGCCCCAUUCGACAUUUCCUUUGAUUUCGAAGUGAAAAUCACGUUAAAAUGAAAUGCUUUGGUUUUAGAAUGUGUUUGGCGAAAAAUUCUUCAUUAGUAAGAUGGCCACGGACGAAGGUGGUUCAAAAAUUGCGUUCGGUAUUCAACAUUUUAUUCAGGAAACAAAUUUCCUGAGUUAUUUUAAAUAUUGUGGUUUAAACUUGAGCUUUAACGCUGGUGGUAAGAAAACAGAAAGGAAACAGUUAAGUUUUUCGAAAUAAAUGCAGGGUAAUUUUUUUUUUGCAGAAGAUCAAAUUCCGGUCAUCUUUGGAAUCUGCUCCUGAUCUGGAGCUACAAGGUUGCAAGUUAAGCUCGGUUACGAUGGUGUUAUGUGGAUCUACCACAGGUGGCGCAAGUUUUGGCCAUAAAUUGUCAUCAAGGUGCUCAAAUAUUAUGCCCUGCUGGACCGGUGAACCGCUACGGUCAAGUCGUUUCCAGAGGGCUCAAGCUGACCGAGCAAAAAUGAUCCAAGACGAUCAAGUACUUCUCGAUCUGAUCCGUAGUCCGUCCUUGAUGUUCAUUGUGAAUCUAGAGAAGCUCCGCUUUCAACCUUUUAAUCGGGCCUCACGUUUAAUUUCGUCUGUGGUUUAAUAUCAGUGAAGCCAAAUGUGUUCUGUUAUGUGAUAUAAACAUUUUAAAAAAUAAAAUAAAUAAUUAAAGUUGUAUUUAAAUGAAUUCGUGAAAUAAAUUUAUUUGAAGAAAUUUCCUUUUAUUUUUAAGACACCUAAAAACCACUAGAGAACCAUUUGUUUUCCACUAAAAAAUCAUUGCAAAUUUAUUAGAAAAUAUUUCCAAAUUCAUGUGCGUCAUCACAUGAAACUAACGUGUUUUUCAUUUGAAUUUACCAUGUGGUGCUAUGAAAAUUUUGUAUGUGAUUUACAAAUGACAUUCACAUGCGAAGUCGAAUGGGGCGGAUUCAUGUGCAAAACAUGUGAUGUUACUAUGUGCCUUUCUUUCAGUGUACUACAGUGUUAAUUUCAUAAAAAUGUGCUUGAUUCUAGGCUUGAUUUUAUAUUUAUUUUUAAAAGUUUUAAACAGUAUGUUAAAUAAGACAUUUUGUUUUUGUAUUUAACGCUUCUGGCCAAAAUCCGAGUCCAAGCUGUACCGAUUCUUACACGGAAACUAAAAUCAUGAUUGAUUAUAUAUGCCAACGGCACAUAACUGUAUCUCAGAUCAGCUUAUUAAAACUUAUGAAUUGUCAUUAUGAACUUCGUGUACCACAUAUAAAUUUGAAUAACAAUCAUCAUAGAUUUUAUAUGCGUAUCGCACAUAACCGAGUUUGCUUCCUUCCUAACAAAAAAUAUUGUUUACGCAAAUAAACUUUGUGAGCAUUGCAUAUAAGUUGUAUGUGCGCGAUGCUAUCGAGAAAUUAAAAGUGAGAGUGUGUGCAACAUGGAGUUAAACUUUCUGUGAAGUUGCUGUGAAGAUUACCAUGGCACUUUGAAAAGUUUAACUCCAUGUUGCACGCACACACUCUCACUUUUAAUUUCUCGAUAGAUUUUUGCUGUAUGCUUUUACACAUAAAAUUUACAUGCAAUGCUCACAACAUUUAUGUAUGCGUCUCGGUAUGCGGCCAUAAAACGUUUUUUUCUGAACAAGAUGGCGAAAAUUGGAAAAAAAUUUUAGUCGAGGGUUUUGUGCCAACAUUUAUUGGCAUUUUUCAAUAGUCAAAUUGUUUAAAAGCCUACUGCUAGAUCUAGGGUAGAUAAAUUCAACGCCACGUUGGAGGUAAGUAAGAAAUAUUUGUGACGAAGAUUUUUCUCGACUUCACAUUUUUCUUAUUCGCAGUUGCUCCAAUCCAGCUCCUUUAACCGGAUCUCCCGCCAAAGUGUAAAAAGUGGUUCUCGCAGGCGGACAUUGGCGCCGUCGCUAAAAGCCGCUAAACCUCGUUGUUUGGACGUUCGACUCGCGUGAAGAAGCGGGUUUGAAACGGCGUGAAUCGACGAUCCGUCGGAAAGUCGACUUCCGUGACAGGCAAACCCAGCAUAAGUUUUCCGGAUCAAAGAUGUUCAAAGCUUGCGGUGCUGAGGCCGAUUCCUCAGAUUGGUCAGGUUCUGAAGAUGAACCCCGUUGGCGAGAUCGGGUCUAGCAACAAGAAGGCCGUCGAUCUACAUGCCGGUGCUGAAUUGAAAGGCCACCUGAAGGUCAAAAUCCGACUGGUCCACGAGAAGACGAAGUAACGUCACCGAACACGAGCGAAACGGCCAUGCUGGCUCAGGAAAGCUCGGGCGCUUCUUUGGCAGCACGUCGGACACGACCCGGUGCCGGCGGAGCAAGUGAUGGAGGAAGUGGAAGAAACUGAAUCUUCAAGCUGCUCGACGUGAUUUCUUGUGGUACAAAACGCAAUUGUUUUAAAAAAAAGUAUUUGAAAAAAAUUUCAACAAUACAUUAUAAGAAUUUUUUAAUAUUGGAAGAAAGUUUAAUCAGCAAUUCAACAUUAGGAAUAGUAAAUGAAAACAAAAUACACCACUCUUGAUAAUCAAAAGAAAAAUACAUUGAAAAUUAUGAAUUCUGCACAUACAACUUAUAUGUGGGUGCAUAUCGCCAAAUGUUUUAUUCUGUGAGCAUUGCAUAUACUUUUCAUGUGUCGUGAACAUUUGUAACCAGUGGUUCGGUUAGCUUCAAGAGUGGUGAGACUGUUGUUCCGCGACGCGUAAAUUAGCAUGCCGAAAGGGAACCCUGUGAAAGCUGGAGAGCGGAACAUCCCCACUCGAGUAGCUGUCCAACGCCAAUGGACGCUACCAACGCUGCACGCUGGAGUAGUUGCGCUAGUCACCACCAGAAAGCGCCACGAGAAGGACAAUGGAUUCGUUAGGGCGAAAUAGGAUGAGAAUGGGGCGAAACGGGAAGGAUGGAUGAGGUUGAGGAUCGCUGGAGAAACUGCGCCAUUGGAUCGAUCACUUGCCUGGUAAUUUAAGAAGUGGACGGUCGAACCAGCUACGUUCGCCGUCAAGUGAGAGUGAAGUGGAACCGGCGCGGAAGACCGGAAGAAAAGGGUCCGUCGAUCGGAAGAUCCGGACGAGCUGCAGGAGAACCUGCGCAGAAACUGGACAACCAGGUAGAGGACGAUCCCAAAACAACAAAUCCUCGAAACAGCCAACCCAUCUCCUUUCCGCCAUCUUCUAACGCUGCCCCAUUGUGCCCUACAGACCCCUCGGUGUGUACGCUUCGCGUACCGAUCGGCCAGCCCAACCCUGGGUGCCGGAAGCCCGUGUGACCCACACGACACCCGCAGUGUCCCCUACGGCGAUCGUCACGUCAGACGAUCGCAACUCUACACCGUUCCGGUGUGGGAACUGCCGGUCGCGACGCCGCCAUUUUGUUCCGAGGAACAUCCCAGUCGCGACCAUAACCGCCACCGAAUCUGCCAUCCGUUACAACCCGACGACGCCGGAAACCAGGCAAUCCGGUGGACUUGUCCACCGAAGUCCUGGGUCCGUCAACAAACCCAGGAGCGUCGAGGCAGAAGGCGAGGAGAGGGUCCGAGUACGAGCUCAAGCAGCUGACCGUGAGCACGAAGAGCAGAAGAAGGCGUUCCGCUCCGGUGGAGUGUGCCCCGGAUGCGUGGAGGCGACAACGACGGCGAGUAGCAGAAGCCGGCGAGAACGAGCAGCGGCAGCAGUGACAGUUCCGGAAAGGGGCCCCAAGGAAGAAGGAAGAAGAGGACGUGUGAGGUAGGACUAGAUCAAGGAAGUGGGAAGGACAAGGAAGUGCAGCUUGAGUCUGCCAAAUAGAACUAUCGCGCGAGUACCGCAAUAAAGUGGGUGUUUGUUCAACGGUA